UACGUAGGGGGCAAGCGUUGUCCGGAUUUAUUGGGCGUAAAGAGCGUGUAGGCGGCUUCACAGGUCCGCUGUGAAAACUCGAGGCUCAACCUCGAGACGCCGGUGGAAACCAUCAGACUAGAGUCCGGAAGAGGAGAGUGGAAUUCCUGGUGUAGCGGUGAAAUGCGCAGAUAUCAGGAAGAACACCCGUGGCUAAGGCGGCUCUCUAGUACGGUACUGACGCUGAGACGCGAAAGCGUGGGGAGCGAACAGG
RNAcentral lists this ribosomal RNA (253 nucleotides) under uncultured bacterium. Its description in RNAcentral is "partial 16S ribosomal RNA". It matches the Rfam family "Bacterial small subunit ribosomal RNA", at positions 524 to 776 of the family's 1533-position model. The record is from RNAcentral.